CUGCUCCCUUACAUGAUGGGGCACGCCCACAGUGUAAGAGGUAAAUUGCUCACCCACAAUUGUGGAGAGAUUAUUAAAAAAGAUUAAGAUGAUGUUAUCAAGUUUAGAUUAGUGUCAGAUAAAGAUUAGAUUAGGGUUAGAUUAAGAUUAUGUUAGGGUUACGGCUCAACAUGUGUCGCGAAUUUAUUGUAUUGAUAAUUUCGGACGUGUUUAACAAUUUACUUAUAUAGUAAAUUCAAAGGUGGAGCUCAUGUUGCAACAGCGAACAAGAUGAAC
Molecule: non-coding RNA, 276 nt
Organism: Paramuricea clavata
Lineage: Eukaryota; Metazoa; Cnidaria; Anthozoa; Malacalcyonacea; Plexauridae
Source: the annotation of a GenBank genome assembly